Molecule: ribosomal RNA, 459 nt
Filed under: uncultured bacterium
Lineage: Bacteria
Description: partial 16S ribosomal RNA
Rfam family: Bacterial small subunit ribosomal RNA
Source: RNAcentral
CCUACGGGGUGCAGCAGUGAGGAAUAUUGGUCAAUGGCCGAGAGGCUGAACCAGCCAAGUCGCGUGAGGGAAGAAUGUCCUAUGGAUUGUAAACCUCUUUUGUCAGGGAGCAAAGUCACCCACGUGUGGGUGUUGGAGAGUACCUGAAGAAAAAGCAUCGGCUAACUCCGUGCCAGCAGCCGCGGUAAUACGGAGGAUGCGAGCGUUAUCCGGAUUUAUUGGGUUUAAAGGGUGCGUAGGCGGGCUGUUAAGUCAGCGGUCAAAUGUCGGGGCUCAACCCCGGCCUGCCGUUGAAACUGGCGGCGUAGAGUGGGCGAGAAGUAUGCGGAAUGCGUGGUGUAGCGGUGAAAUGCAUAGAUAUCACGCAGAACUCCGAUUGCGAAGGCAGCAUACCGGCGCCCGACUGACGCUGAGGCACGAAAGCGUGGGUAUCGAACAGGAUUAGAUACCCCAGUAGUC